Molecule: RNase P RNA, 373 nt
Filed under: Thermoflexales bacterium
Lineage: Bacteria; Bacillati; Chloroflexota; Thermoflexia; Thermoflexales
Description: RNase P RNA component class A
Rfam family: Bacterial RNase P class A
About the family: Ribonuclease P (RNase P) is a ubiquitous endoribonuclease, found in archaea, bacteria and eukarya as well as chloroplasts and mitochondria. Its best characterised activity is the generation of mature 5'-ends of tRNAs by cleaving the 5'-leader elements of precursor-tRNAs.
Source: RNAcentral
CGAGUUCGCCAGAUCGUCGCGGCUGGCGCGGGAAACCGCGCUGGCGGAGGAAAGUCCGGACUCCACAGGGCAGGGUGCUGGUUAACGGCCAGGCGCAGUGAUGCGACGGAAAGCGCAACAGAAAACAAACCGCCGGGGCGCAAGCUCCGGCAAGGGUGAAAAGGCGAGGUAAGGGCUCACCAGCGCGGCAGUGAUGUCGCGGCUUGGCAAGCCCCACCCGGAGCAACGCCAAAACGCGCAGAUGAGGCGGCCCGCUGAUGCGCAGGUAGGCGGCUUGAGGCCCGCAGCAAUGCGUGGUCCAGAGAGAUGACGGUCCCGUCGUUCCCGCAAGGGGGCGAUAUGACAGAAUCCGGCUUAUCGGCGGACUCGGACA